UUUUCCUUUAAUCCAGAUGAUGAUGUCUGUCAUUGUCUUUUUUAGGAAAGAUGUUUUUAAUUUUUUUCCCAACAGUUUGGAGAUGUAAUCGAGUCACAGGACCACUACACAUACCAGCCAAUACCAAAGAAACACAUACAUGCUUGAGAUGGACACAGAGACUUGAGACUUAGUUGUGAAAAAAUGAAAAAUCUGUGGUUUUCUCACCCUCAAGUCGUUCCAAACCCAUAAGACUUUCACCGUGUCUGCACCGGAGCAGUGCAACUGUCGCACCCGACCUUCAUGACCUUUCUGGAUCCUCUAACUUUUGGUCACAUGGACUGUCACCGGAGGGAAGGAAAGCUUUCAGGUUUCAUUAUGAAAUAUCUUAAUUUGUGUUUUGAAGAUAACCAAAGUCUGGUGGAUUAGCUCUAAAAGAGGGGAAGUAAAUGACAAUUAUGAUGAUGAUUUCCUUGAAAAAUGAAGCUACAGAUGAUGUUUUUUCUGGGAAUUGAUGGUUUAAAAAAAAGCACCAAAUAUCAGAAUUGUUGUAAAAUGUAUUGAAAUCUGUAAGAAGUUUACAAUGUUGACCUUGCAUUCGAAUGUAUUUUUCAAAUUUGUCCAAAUGUGAGAAACUGUCCUUCUUUUCUUUUUCUUUUCUUUUCUAAAGUUUAAUGCAAGUUCAUCUGGAAUGUGAGUGGCUUUUUUUCAGUGGCACAUGGAUGUAACAUUUCUUGGAUGAACGUUCUAUUCUGGAAUGUUAUGCUUUUACGUUUUAAAGCAGUUUUCACUAUUAACUGUUGUAAAUUCUUCCUCAAAUUCCAAAAGUGGAGAUUGUCAAUGAGUGUUGAAGAUUUCAAUGUGAUGUAAUGAACAUUUAAAAAUGUUUGACUCUCAAGAGUGUAAAUUCAGUAAUUCAGUGACAUUUAACAGUAAAAUCACAUUCUGAAGGUGAAGAAAUUGCUUAAUAUGUACA
Molecule: long non-coding RNA, 955 nt
Organism: Cyprinus carpio (common carp)
Lineage: Eukaryota; Metazoa; Chordata; Actinopteri; Cypriniformes; Cyprinidae
Exons: 3
Source: RefSeq, a predicted model, not a curated record